This 253-nucleotide ribosomal RNA is filed under the name uncultured bacterium. RNAcentral's name for it is "partial 16S ribosomal RNA". It matches the Rfam family "Bacterial small subunit ribosomal RNA", at positions 524 to 776 of the family's 1533-position model. The record is from RNAcentral.
UACGUAGGGUGCGAGCGUUAAUCGGAAUUACUGGGCGUAAAGCGUGCGCAGGCGGUUUUGUAAGCCAGACGUGAAAUCCCCGGGCUUAACCUGGGAAUGGCGUUUGGGACUGGAAGUCUGGAGUGCGGCAGAGGAGACUGGAAUUCCUGGUGUAGCAGUGAAAUGCGUAGAUAUCAGGAGGAACACCGAUGGCGAAGGCAGGUCUCUGGGCUGACACUGACGCUCAUGCACGAAAGCGUGGGGAGCAAACAGG